RNA transcript from Numida meleagris (helmeted guineafowl), 9025 nucleotides. It is a transcript of the gene named intraflagellar transport 27, with no coding region annotated. The record is from RefSeq and is a predicted model, not a curated record. The transcript has 8 exons. NCBI's taxonomy places the organism in Eukaryota, Metazoa, Chordata, Aves, Galliformes, Numididae.
CUGGAGGAAGGCGGGGCGCCCCGUUGCUAGGGCCGCGCUGUUGCUAGGGCCGCGGCAGAGCGCUGUGGCGGCAGCCGCUGCCUUGCCGGCCCGCCGCCUCUGCCUCCGCCUGGCCGGGGCGAUGGUGAAGCUCUCCGCCAAGUGCCUGCUGGCAGGUGAUCCAGCUGUGGGGAAGAGUGCUUUAGCCCAGAUGUUCCGCAAUGAUGGGGCUCAUUUUCAGAAGAACUAUACAUUGACAACGGGCAUUGAACUGUUGGUGAAGGCUAUAUCAGUUCCAGAGACAAGUGAUAGUGUGGAAUUCUUCAUUUUUGACUCUGCAGGAAAAGAUCUAUUUUCUGAGAUGCUGGAGAAACUGUGGGACCAACCAAAUGUCCUGUGCCUUGUGUAUGAUGUCACUAAUGAGCAAUCUUUCAACAACUGUGCCAAGUGGCUGGAAAAGCUGAGGGCACAAGCAGUUGGAAUGCACAUCCCAGGUGUCUUAGUGGGGAAUAAAACAGAUCUGGUUGGUCGUCGAGUUGUGGAACAGAAGCAAGCACAGGAAUGGGCUGACAAACAUGGCCUGGAAUACUGUGAGAUAUCAGUGAAGGAGAUGAAAAAUUUUGAGGCCCCCUUCAACAUACUGGCAAAGUCAUUCUGCCAGCUGUACAAAGAAAAAGUGGAAACCUUUCACUCACUGGCUUGAGGGCUGUGACUGGGAUGGCUUAACUUCUGAGCUUCUUCUAGUGCCCAGAAUCCUAUUGGACUGGAAUGCAGUGAGAGGAAAAAAGAUGAGCUUUUUGCUUCUUCACAAUCAUCUUCUGGGCUCACUGCCAAUGCACAGAGACCCAGUGGACCUGGGAAUGUAAAUGCCACUGUUCUAGUGCAGGGUGUUUCCUGCUUGCUGAACUGCAAUGUACCUGAGCAUCUGCAACCUGUGGACUGCAUAUUUCCAGUGUACCUGUUUGACUGCUAGGAGCUGUUUAUGACGGCAGGUCAGACAUUUAUUUAUCAUUUUAUUCUCCUUCCUCUUGCCCUUUUUCCUCACAAUGUAUUCUCAGUGGAAAAGGAGACGUGAAAAGAAAACAGUGCCCAAAUUAACAGGCACCUUCUUAAUUCUUCUGCCUCAUGUCAUAGAUGCCACUUUGCUUUGCUGCCUGACUCUACCACCACCCCUCUCUUUGACCAUUUCUUUUCUCUUCUGUUCUUUGCUGUAUCUUUUUUCACCUCCUUCUUUACACCUUCCUUCAGCUUUCUGCCAUUUUAAUUUUAUACUCUUCCCUCUAACUUCACCCCCCUUUCUCUAUUAUGUUCUAGGCUUCCAGGUUAUGUGCCUCCCCUCAUUGUUUCAGCUUAUUCCUUCUGGUUUCCCUGUCUCUCUUCUUUUGCUCCUUUUAAUCUCUCCCUGAUUCCUUCAUCUCCUCCUGUCUGUGCCUGUCUGCCUGCUUUCUCUCACUCACUGUCUGUCUCUUUUGAACUGGGUUGUGAAUUCUGUCGGCAUCUGAGUGGGACAAACUGUAAAACUGAGGUUCCCGGAGGGCCAGAUUGUGAUCAUUUUAUUUUUACAAUGUCCUUGGAUGUAUAAAGGUGUUUGUUUGAGGGGGAGGAGCAGUGCAUGUGCUCCAUGUGGGAGAAUAGAGGGGAGUGCAGGCCAGAACAAGUGAAGCUUGAAACUAAUAUAGGUCAGCUGCAGAGAAAGUCCCAGUGGUCUGUGAAACAGAGAAGUGGUUUGACACUUCAGACUGGCUACUGGAAAGAUGGCAACUGAACAGUUUUAUCCAAAUGACGCAAGCAACCUGGAAAAGUGUCCUAUGAAAGAGUGCAGAAGUGGUGAGCAUGGGAGGAGAGCCAAGCCCUGCAAAGGCUCUGCUCAUCUCCAGCCACCUCCUUAACACAGGGAAUAACCAGCCUGAAAUUCCACGUUCAUGCCUCUGAGCUGUCUUCUAUGUGCAACCCUCUCACCCUACAUGAAAUGGGGAACACAGCUGAGAUAUGCCUCACUGUGCCCCCUGCCAGACCUGCUCAUGAGGUCAGAGCUGGCAACAACAGAGCAAAGAGAUUAGUGGAGCACCAAGGAGGACUGUACCCCCAAACCCUUGAAGAUGUUUGGCCAACCUCUGCUGAGGAUGGUGCUGUGAAGGAGCCUCACACUGCUAGCGGAGAGACAUCACCAAGGCUCUGAGUCUGGCCUGGUCAAGCUGAAAGAACCAAGUGCUCUCCCUGGCACUGCUGGGAAUUGAUUUGCUCUGCAUAAGAGUCCUCACUCGCCAUGAUUUUCCACAGACUGUAAACUCUGCUCUCAGACCUUUCCCAGAAAAUUUCACAAGAGGCUACUAUCUGCAGUGAAUGAUUGAAAGUAGCAAAUCCUGAUGAGUAACUUCUGAUUUCAUUUCUAUUAAAAAAUUUUUGUUGGUAUAAGAGUCAUCUGUUAAGAUGACGUUUAGAUAUCAAAACAGACAUCCAGAUUUUCAGAGUCAUUUGGAGCCUCUUCAUCUCUGUAAAAUCAAUGUGAGAUGCUGACUGCUCAGCAUAACUGAAAAUCAGGACAGUUCUUCAAUGUCUAAACACGGAGUUAGAAGCCUAAAUACACAGGUGUUUUGCUUUCUUUUUAAAAUAGGCCCCUAUUCUCAAGAAAGGCAAUGUCACCUCUCUACAGCUUCUGUUCAUGUACACUUUUCUGUGCAUCUCCAUAAUGCUUUGGUCUAGCAUCUGACUGUCUUAACUCAGUGUGUUUAAGCUAAUUCCUCCAUAGGAAUUCGCUCUCUGGAUCCUACACAGUUACGAAGGUAAUACAAAACCAAAUCCUAGGAAUUCAUAUGGUGGCUCUGCGGCCACAAUAUACCAGCUGGCUUCCACUGAAACAGUGUCUGAAGUACAAGUACAUUUCAUGAGAUGCCUCCCUGAUGAUAAGAUACUACAAAAAUAAAUCCUCAUUUUAAAAUGAGUUGCCUGUUAUCAUUGAUGUCUGUGGGACCCAGUGAUUAUGAAUUUUCUAAGAUUCCGCACUCAUUGAGCUCUCAGGUGCUGGGAUCCAUGUUUCUCUUGAUUUGUCCCUCUAAAAAGUCGGAGGGACGAUAUCAUCUCUCCCAGAGGCUAACCAUUUUUCUUAAUUUGGUUAUGAUGUUCUUUCAAGAGUCUUUUUUUUUUCUUACUGAGCAUCAGAGAAAUUAAAAGUUCAGUAUUCCUUCCCUGAUACCAUAAGCUAUGUGAAAGAAGAAGAGCUAAGGAUGCCCUAAAGAAGACAACUGGCUCUAUAGCUCCUCUGCAGAAGGAUUACCUGUGUUGUUACCUCCAGACCUAGUUUGUCCCAUCCAGGAAGCCUCAGCAAUGCUUCUGUGGCUGUUGAGGACCAGAGGCAAAAGCUGGUGUUUAGGAUAGACUGUGGCUUUAAAUGAUAAUACUGAAUAGAUGAGGCUGCAUAGGAUCCUCUUUGUCCUCAUCUGCGCCCUUUACACUGGAAGUAAGUCUGAUAGCAGAGAACACUGAUCAAGGUCAACAUGAAGCAUCCUCACUGUAGGCCUCACCUUUCCUCCAGCAUUUAUCACUGUCCUGAUAUUUCCAGGAAGCUUCCAAAAACCAUCAAUUCAGAAAAAAAGAAACCCAACAACUUAUCUUUCUCGCCUUAUUCUUUACAAUUCUCUGAUUACUGCUAUGUCUACAUGAAAACAGGCUUUUUUCUUCUUUAAGAGUCAAACUGCAGCUGCUGCAUAUUUCCUCACAUCCCUGACCAUGAGAGGUGGAUCUGGUGUGAGUUCUGGUUAUAGUUAAUUGACAGAUGGGCAACAGAUUUAUUAUGAACAAGACCAAGUUAUUUGUCCCCAUAUUUCAUGUAGUUCCAGUGAGAUGCAUUGCUGUACGAUCUGUUCUGCAGACCUUUUCCCUUGUGUCUUGACUUUAGAGCAGAUUCUGAUCACAAAGCCAGUGCUAUAUUCUUUUUACUAACUUUUUGUGAGGAAUAUGUGAGUCAGCUUGGUUUUUUUUUUCUCCUCUUAUUUGUAUCCUUUAGCUCUGCUUUUCAGGCAUUCGUUUAUUCAGGUAUCAAGGCUCUCUACCUCUUUGCCCUGUUUCCUGGAAUAUGCUUCCAGGACUGGAAGUAUGUGGAUGUCUGUGAGAACUGUGUAUGCCUGAUUUUCCACAUGGAUGGAAAAAAAAAAAAAAAGAUUUAGAUGAAGAAUCUGUGGAUACGGAAACGGAGUAGGAAUGGCGUAUGAAUAAGCAGGUCUUGAACAGGAUCUCUCUGGGACAUAGUUUAUCAAGGAGUAAGGUUGUGCAGAGGAAUGCAUUUAUUUACACACAGGAUGGACCAGCAAGAAGGUAGCCUUGAAUUGUAGACAAGUGUAGAAUAAUGUGCACUUCAGAGUGGAAAAUUAUGAGGGACAGCAUCUGAGUGAGUAGGGUAGUGUCUUUCGUUUAAUGCAGUUAAGCAAAUAUAUGGAAUAGACAUCCUGAUGAGUAUGGGGAAUUUUCUCACAACUAAUUUUCUCUUCUAGUCUUAUUCAGUAAGUUUGCAUGUGUAUGCAUGUAUAUCCUCGCUGAGGAUAUCCAUACUGUAAUUCCAGCUAGAGUGACUGGUUAGCAGCCUGCCCUCUGUUACAGUUAAUGGGUUGCAGGCAUUGAUUUUUUUUUUUCUAUUCCUAUUGAUUAGGAGGCUGCUGCCCACACAAACCUCAGCACAGCACGAAAAGGGGAAGAGAGGCAAAACAGUUCUCAUCCCAGCAAUUCAUCAUGGUGGAAAAUUCAUGCUGGGAUUCCCAAUCUUCUCUCACUAUGUCUUUCAAGUAGAGAAGGACACCUUUCCCUUUUUGAAGAAUUCAGUCCAUAAGGCUCAUGAGAUGACUUCUUUUUCUUCCUGCCAUUUGAGGUAGCAAACAUUUCAAAGGUUACCAUUCAAUGGAAAAAACGUUGUGUGAGACAAGGGAGUCUUGCACUGGAAGCACAGGUGCUUUAGCUUCAAGACUCAGUGUGCAACGUAUUUCUUGGACAACCGUCAGCACUCAAUUCAUUUAUGACAAUACUCAAAUCUCACUAACAUCAGUGCAUUGACUUUGGCUUUGGUGGGGUUUGUGAUUUCAGUGCCUCAGUGCCUUCACAAAGUGUUACAUUAUAAGAGUGUUAUAUGGGUAAAUGAUUAUUUUUUUUUUUUGCCAAGUAUUUGUCUUAGACGAGGAUGUAUGUCAGAAACUGAGGGAGUUACAUACUACAGCCUUAUACUCUCACACUUUGUCCACUUGUAUCAAAUGCAGUUUUUUUUAUGCACUCUUGGGAUAGCCCCAGCAUCACUUUUAUCUCCCUUCUUUUUUUUUUUUUCCCUUCCGAUCAUAGUUUUAUGCUAGAGAAGAAUUUCAUAUCGUAUUCAAAUAUUUUAUGUUUACACUGUCUUUUAUGUUGAUCCUCAAGUUAAAAAACCUGAAGUUAAGGAGAGAGGACCACUGGGCAUUUGUACAUCUGUAUUUAUCUCUCUAUCAUCUCCACAUGUGAUUCUCUGACAAAACACAAAUUUUCUUCUUUCUUCAGUUUGCUCGUUUGUUAAAUUGGUCUAAGAAAAUCACCAGCAUGCGGAUAUGAUGUAAAUAAUGUUUCUUACAUAUUUUGGGUCCCCCAGCUUUGAAUGCCAGCGAUGACUGCUCUGAUCACCCUCUUUGCUUGUCUAAACACACAGAUAUAUGGGGUUUUUUUCAGCCUUCUCCAGUGAAACUUCUUAAAUAUUAAUUCCUUUUCUGGAUCAUAUCUCACUUCUGUCUUUCUGCCCCAUUGGUUUUCAGUUCUAUAAUCAUCACUCUAACCCCAAUUUAUUUUUUCUAACAUCUCCUCUGCUGGUGCAUCUGUCUAUUAACACCUCUGCUCUGCCUGCAAAUACAACUGCAUCAACUCCAUCUCUUUUACAUCUCAUUACAGCAGCUCCUUCUGAGGUGGCCUGCCCAGUAUGAAGAUUCCUAGAUACCAAAUCGCUGUCUGAUUUUAUUCUGAGCUAAAAUUCUCCUCUGGAGCACUUGAUCCACAGAUACUCUAUUCAGCUCCAUUACCAUCCCAUGGAGUUGCUUCCGAUUUCAUGCCCUUCAUCUCCCUUCCUGUAUCUUUUUCAUGCCCCUUUCUUUCCUACAGCACUGCCCCUUCUCUCCACAAAUAGCAGCACUCUUGGUUUGCCAUUGGAAGCAGACUUCCUGCAGCUCCCUGUCUCAUCAGCUUCUCAUUUCAAGUAAUUUAAAAUGUAAUUUAAAAUCUCUCUAUUUCCUCCAGACUAUUAAUUUCUCUCUCCUUACUCUUCUAUAGAUGUCAUUCUGUGUUGCACUAUUCAGUAAGAUGCGGCUGUUGUAAAAUUCUGCCACAGUGUUUUUAAUCUGUAUUCUUGUUUUGUAUUAUCAUUUUUAAUGAUUCUUUGUAGGAAAGAUGAAAUCUCAGCACAGCAUCUAGCCACAGCACAAGCAGUCACACAGGACAUUCUGGCAUUUGCAUUGCCUUUGUUCCGUUCUUCUCCAGUGGCAUUUAGAACAACUGUAGAGGGAUUAUUGUGAAUGGCUUAAGAGGAUAUAAGUAGGGUAGCAGGAAGAGAAUUAUUUCUGAAAAUUGUGAAGUAUGAGGCAGGAAUUCACCUUUAGUCUUGAUCCUGAGACAUAAUGAACCAUCACAGGACCCACUGCUCUUAGCCAGAGAUUAAAGAACUCAUUGUCCUGCAGACCUGGCCUUCUUAUACUGGCAGAUUUUUGGGGGAGAAUGUGCCCCUAUCCUGUUGCUAGAGUCAUUUGAAAUCAAACUUGUCAAAUCUGUAGAAAUAUAUAAUAAAGGCAACAAUUACAGAUUAGUUUGAGGGCCUCUGUUUUGGCCCAGCUUCUGCUUCAUCCUCUGAAAUUGUCUGAAUUAGUCAAAUGUAAAGAUAAGUAAUCCAGGAGUUCCAGCAGUAUUUUUCUAGGUAUAGAUGAAAUCUGUAAUUUCUCUCUGUGUUUGGAUGCCUUGGAAAUCCCAGUCUUCUGCAGUGACUGUUUGCUCACUCUACUUGUCUCACUCUACUCAGAUACCAACAGAAGCUACCAAAAGACAGCUCCCAUUUGUGCAGGCCCACACACCCUGAUCUGAAGGGGCAUUCCAAUUUGUCACAGUAAAAUAAACACUUAACCACAUGGGCUGCACAGGGGAGCCCUCAGUGAAAAUACACCUUCUCUUCCUAUCUUCUUCGAGUGACCCUGCUGAUUGAGAACAAGUGAGGUUCCAUAAGGCCUGAGUCCUUUCUGCCUCCACUCACUCCAGCCAGGCUGCUCUGUGACAUUACUGUAAGAGCUGUAUUGCACUAUUUUGAGUGCCUAAAGUAACUGAGGAGCCCGCUUUGCUUGGACAGAUUUCCAUUGUGUCUUUCCCUUCCAUGUGCUCAGUGUUGGUGCCUGAUGGAUUUUAGUGCCAGCAUAGUCUGCCGAAAUUUUUCCUCUUCAGAGUCUUCCAGGCUCCUUGCCCUGCUUUUCUGCCUUCCUUUGAAGAAUGGGACCUCAGCGGUGGGUUGGACUUGGAGAGGAAUGACCACCAACACAAAAAUAAAUGGCUCAGAACUGCCAGAAUGACACAUUCAUCCCUUAUGCUUCCUUCUUUCAGCAGAAAGCACUCAGGAGCAGAGAAAUCCUAGGGUGAUCUUCUUUAGCUUCCCUAGCUAAAAGCCUCAGAGAACCUCCUCCUCAUCACAAGCCAUCCCUGUAGAGCCAUAAUCUCCCACUGUCUUAGGGGGAUUCUCUGUAACUCUCCACCCUUCAGUUGAACAAAGACCAACAGUUCAGAGAGACUGCCCACAGCUACCAUGCUCUCCACUAUUCCACCAGGCUGAAAUACACAGCCCACAAGGGCCACCUCCUCCCUUGCCCAUCCUCAGCUGUUUGGCAGCUCAAUGAGUGCCAAAAAAAAAAAAAAAAAAAAAGCUUUUUCAAGAGAGAAGGAGGCCAGGACUCUCCCAGGGGGGCUAGGAACUGUGGUUGUACCCCAGCAAUGUAUUAGUGGGCUCAACCUGCACUGUCACCUGCUUCAUCCCCCAUCCCUUCUCCUGCCUCCCCAGGACCUGCUGGUAGCAAUCCGCAUACGGCUGAUGCCACAGACCAUCCGUGCUUGCUGGUAAACUCCCCACUGUGUUCUCAGCUCCCUGCUGAACAGAGGAAAUGCUCAGCUGCCUUUCCUGCCCCCUCCUUGCCUGCUGCUUGCCAUAGAGUCCUUCAUGUCCAACAGUCCUGGAGGACACUGUUCUGAAAUGGCAGCCCCAGGCUGCACCCGGAGAAUGACAAUGGAGGAGAGAAAUGGAGUUAUGAAAUUACGAAGUGGCUGAAGCCCUCCAACUGGUUCAACUAGCCGGCACCCCCUCCCCUCAGCCCCUUAAUUCCCCUAGAAGAGCAGUGAACCUAAAGCAGCCCUUCUGGUCUCUCGUUCACUGAACAAUGAAUCUGAUCAGAGAGAAACAAAAUCGGAAGCAUCAUGAAUUAGAUGAUUUCUUUUCUUUAUGAUUGCUGCAUUAAUGAGCAGCUACAUGUAUAGAACAAGGAGGUGACUAAUGUAAUUAACCUGAUGUAAUGAUACUGCUGAAGAAGGGAGAGACAGUUAUGACAUACUAAGAUGUUAGCAUUGCACAAUUUUAUACACAUUCUUGGUACUAUCAAGUUGUGUCUGACACAGAAACUUAAGCAGUGAUAGAUUUCAGUCUGCAUCCAUUCAUCUCAUGCAUCUUUCUGUGGAAAAUGAGGAUUGAAAGGUGGGAUACUUUCCAGGUUGAGGGAGAGGAAUUCAGUUUGGCGGUCCCUUUCCUUAGCAAAAUCACAGUAACAACAAGAAAUCGCCCUUUGUCAUGAAGAAUCUUCCCAAAAUGUCUGCUUCUUGAAGCAAGCUAUGGGAUUUAACAGAAACCUAUGAAGAGAAAGUCAAAACGCAGGGAUUCGCACAACAUUGGUCAGGGGGAGACAGAGGGACGGAAAACGAGCAACACCAAAACAUAUGCAACUUGCAGCAAAGCCGAGAAGAGUGAGAAGUGAGCACUUAAAAAUAAUAACGACAACAAAAAUAAGAUAAAUAAAAGCUUAUUUUUAAAUUA